This 82-nucleotide microRNA precursor is filed under the name Fukomys damarensis (Damara mole-rat). Lineage: Eukaryota; Metazoa; Chordata; Mammalia; Rodentia; Bathyergidae. The record is from RNAcentral.
UUGUGCAGUGCUCCACUCAAAAAGGUGACAAUCAGAUAAAUUAAAAUAUAAUUGGCACUUUUUUGAGUGUAGUAAUUCACAA